UACUGGAUAGGCAAUUAUUCCUGUAAUGGUUUUUUGUUUAAAUGUUUUUUCGCCUAAGGAUGGGUCUGCGGCCGAUUAGGUAGUUGGUUAGGUAAUGGCUUACCAAGCCUUUGAUCGGUACGGGUUGUGAGAGCAAGAGCCCGGAGAUGGAACCUGAGACAAGGUUCCAGGCCCUACGGGGUGCAGCAGGCGCGAAACCUCCGCAAUGUGAGAAAUCGCGACGGGGGGAUCCCAAGUGCCAUUCUUAACGGGAUGGCUUUUCAUUAGUGUAAAGAGCUUUUGGAAUAAGAGCUGGGCAAGACCGGUGCCAGCAG
This 314-nucleotide ribosomal RNA is filed under the name uncultured Methanobrevibacter sp. RNAcentral describes it as "bacterial SSU rRNA". It matches the Rfam family "Archaeal small subunit ribosomal RNA", at positions 150 to 464 of the family's 1478-position model. The record is from RNAcentral. Lineage: Archaea; Methanobacteriati; Methanobacteriota; Methanobacteria; Methanobacteriales; Methanobacteriaceae.